Molecule: ribosomal RNA, 253 nt
Filed under: uncultured bacterium
Lineage: Bacteria
Description: partial 16S ribosomal RNA
Rfam family: Bacterial small subunit ribosomal RNA
Source: RNAcentral
UACGGAGGGGGCAAGCGUUGUUCGGAAUUAUUGGGCGUAAAGGGCGCGUAGGCGGCCGGCCAAGUCGAACGUGAAAUCCCUGGGCUCAACCCAGGAACUGCGUCCGAUACUGGAAGGCUUGAAUCCGGGAGAGGGAUGCGGAAUUCCAGGUGUAGCGGUGAAAUGCGUAGAUAUCUGGAGGAACACCGGUGGCGAAGGCGGCAUCCUGGACCGGCAUUGACGCUGAGGCGCGAAAGCCAGGGGAGCAAACGGG